RNAcentral lists this ribosomal RNA (504 nucleotides) under uncultured bacterium. Its description in RNAcentral is "bacterial SSU rRNA". It matches the Rfam family "Bacterial small subunit ribosomal RNA", at positions 8 to 507 of the family's 1533-position model. The record is from RNAcentral.
AGAGUUUGAUCCUGGCUCAGAUUGAACGCUAGCGGCAGGCUUAAUACAUGCAAGUCGAGGGGCAGCACGGUUAGCAAUAACUGGUGGCGACCGGCGCACGGGUGCGUAACACGUAUACAAUCUACCUUAAACAGGGGGGAUAGCCUUUCGAAAGAGAGAUUAAUACCCCGUAAUAAAUUGAACGGCAUCGUUUGAUUUUGAAAGCUCCGGCGGUUUGAGAUGAGUAUGCGUCUGAUUAGCUAGUUGGUGAGGUAACGGCUCACCAAGGCGACGAUCAGUAGGGGACCUGAGAGGACUAACCCCCACACUGGUACUGAGACACGGACCAGACUCCUACGGGAGGCAGCAGUAAGGAAUAUUGGUCAAUGGAGGCAACUCUGAACCAGCCAUGCCGCGUGCAGGAUGACGGCCCUAUGGGUUGUAAACUGCUUUUAUACAAGAGAAAACCCUGGUACGUGUACCAAGUUGAUAGUAUUGUAAGAAUAAGCAUCGGCUAACUUCGUG